RNAcentral lists this ribosomal RNA (460 nucleotides) under uncultured bacterium. RNAcentral's name for it is "partial 16S ribosomal RNA". It matches the Rfam family "Bacterial small subunit ribosomal RNA", at positions 338 to 795 of the family's 1533-position model. The record is from RNAcentral.
CCUACGGGAGGCUGCAGUGAGGAAUAUUGGUCAAUGGGCGGGAGCCUGAACCAGCCAAGUCGCGUGAAGGAAGAAGGUACUUAGUAUUGUAAACUUCUUUUGUCGGGGAACAAAGGCGGAGACGCGUCUCCGGAUGAGUGUACCCGAAGAAAAAGCAUCGGCUAACUCCGUGCCAGCAGCCGCGGUAAUACGGAGGAUCCGAGCGUUAUCCGGAUUUAUUGGGUUUAAAGGGAGCGUAGGUGGAUUGUUAAGUCAGUUGUGAAAGUUUGCGGCGCAACCGUGAAAUUGCAGUUGAAACUGGCAGUCUUGAGUACAGUAGAGGUGGGCGGAAUGCGUGGUGUAGCGGUGAAAUGCUUAGAUAUCACGCAGAACCCCGAUUGCGAAGGCAGCCUGCCAAGCCCUGACUGACGCUGAUGCACGAAAGCGUGGGGAUCAAACAGGAUUAGAUACCCCGGUAGUC